GAUGAACGCUGGCGGCGUGCUUAACACAUGCAAGUCGAACGGAAAGGCCCAAGCUUGCUUGGGUGCUCGAGUGGCGAACGGGUGAGUAACACGUGGGUGAUCUGCCCUGCACUUUGGGAUAAGCCUGGGAAACUGGGUCUAAUACCGGAUAGGACCAUCGUUUAGUGUCGGUGGUGGAAAGUUUUUCGGUGUGGGAUGAGCUCGCGGCCUAUCAGCUUGUUGGUGGGGUAAUGGCCUACCAAGGCGUCGACGGGUAGCCGGCCUGAGAGGGUGUACGGCCACAUUGGGACUGAGAUACGGCCCAGACUCCUACGGGAGGCAGCAGGGGGGAAUAUUGCACAAUGGGCGCAAGCCUGAUGCAGCGACGCCGCGUGGGGGAUGACGGCCUUCGGGUUGUAAACGCCUUUCGCCAAGGACGAAGCGUUUUGUGACGGUACUUGGAGAAGAAGCACCGGCUAACUACGUG
This 466-nucleotide ribosomal RNA is filed under the name uncultured bacterium. RNAcentral describes it as "partial 16S ribosomal RNA". It matches the Rfam family "Bacterial small subunit ribosomal RNA", at positions 28 to 507 of the family's 1533-position model. The record is from RNAcentral.